Molecule: ribosomal RNA, 253 nt
Filed under: uncultured bacterium
Lineage: Bacteria
Description: partial 16S ribosomal RNA
Rfam family: Bacterial small subunit ribosomal RNA
Source: RNAcentral
UACGGAGGGUGCAAGCGUUAUCCGGAAUCACUGGGUUUAAAGGGUGCGUAGGCGGGUUAUUAAGUCAGUGGUGAAAUACUGUCGCUUAACGAUAGAACUGCCAUUGAUACUGAUAGUCUUGAAUUGGGUUGAGGUUAGCGGAAUGUGACAUGUAGCGGUGAAAUGCAUAGAUAUGUCAUGGAACACCAAUUGCGAAGGCAGCUAACUGGGCCUUGAUUGACGCUGAGGCACGAAAGCGUGGGUAGCGAACAGG